AGUGAACGCUGGCGGUAGGCCUAACACAUGCAAGUCGAACGGCAGCACAGUAAGAGCUUGCUCUUACGGGUGGCGAGUGGCGGACGGGUGAGGAAUACAUCGGAAUCUACUUUUUCGUGGGGGAUAACGUAGGGACACUUACGCUAAUACCGCAUACGACCUACGGGUGAAAGCAGGGGAUCUUCGGACCUUGCGCGAUUGAAUGAGCCGAUGUCGGAUUAGCUAGUUGGCGGGGUAAAGGCCCACCAAGGCGACGAUCCGUAGCUGGUCUGAGAGGAUGAUCAGCCACACUGGAACUGAGACACGGUCCAGACUCCUACGGGAGGCAGCAGUGGGGAAUAUUGGACAAUGGGCGCAAGCCUGAUCCAGCCAUACCGCGUGGGUGAAGAAGGCCUUCGGGUUGUAAAGCCCUUUUGUUGGGAAAGAAAAGCAGCAGGUUAAUACCCCGCUGUUCUGACGGUACCCAAAGAAUAAGCACCGGCUAACUUCGUG
RNAcentral lists this ribosomal RNA (492 nucleotides) under uncultured bacterium. Its description in RNAcentral is "partial 16S ribosomal RNA". It matches the Rfam family "Bacterial small subunit ribosomal RNA", at positions 29 to 507 of the family's 1533-position model. The record is from RNAcentral.